Molecule: long non-coding RNA, 1081 nt
Filed under: Setaria viridis
Lineage: Eukaryota; Viridiplantae; Streptophyta; Magnoliopsida; Poales; Poaceae
Description: long non-coding RNA (SVIR_LNC004267)
Source: RNAcentral
CCCAUUACUUUGGUGUUGCUCUGGUUAUUGGCAAGGCUAGCAGCAGCCAUGAGCUGUCUUGAAUCAUGCAUAUUCUGAAACUUCGCAAUAGUUUUAGAAUAACUAUUCAGGCUCUCUGCAUAUGAACACAGAAAUGGAUGUCAAGUACUGAAGGUGAAAUAGGCUCACUAACAUGUUACAGAUGGUUUGUGUGGGAGUAGUUCACCAAUGCUUGAUGAUUGAUCCACUUCCCCAUUUCUUGUUUCAGAUAAAUGGCUAUCAUCAGCUUGAAUGUCAGAGUGUUCCUGAGGCUGUUUACUCUUAUCUGAACUUUCCUUUGCAGCGUCACCAGAUCCUGACCCAGGUAUCACCCUAUGUAUACUUUGCAGGUUCAAUUAUUCAUUUAAUGUUACAUUUUGAUAGUGUAGUCUGGUACAUUUUGAAUGCGCGGGGUGCCUUCUUAAUGGAGAGGUGAUGUUGUUGACCUGCAUAAUUGCUGAGAAUAUAGGGCCAGUAGGGGACUCCCCUGCUGUUCAGGUCAAAAAAAUGCUGAGGGCAUCUAUGCUUAGGCUGUCAAAGAAAUCACGCCGCAGCUUAGGCUUGCCAAAGAAAUCACGCCGCAUCUAUGCUGUUUUUUUGCGCCGCAGUUUGCCAAAAGCGUGGCGGACGUUUUGUCCGCUGCAGCUUUGGCGUGGCCAGAACUGCGGCCUGGCGAGCUCCGGCGGCUACCAAACAGGACCAUAAUCUUGUUGUGUUUUCUGCCUUAUGAACCCCAUCACUCAGAACUUGACAUCUCCAACUAUAAAGGCAGUUAGUUAUUGUGUUAUCAUCAAGGAGUUGUCUGGUUCAGUAUUGAGAUGCAGUGAAUUUCGGUGUGGGAAACUUGAUUACUGGUCACCGAAACAAACUAGGAAAUGCAUGCUUAGACACCAAACAAACUGGGAAGUGAUGCUUAAAACAACUUUAGUUCCGCUGUGCAUUACCUUGUAGUAGAAACUGUGAUGGGACCAGUAGACGCCCAUCUCAUGACUCUUGGUGCUUGCUAUUGAAAUGAAACAAGCAUGGAUAGUGCAUUCUUUGCAGGUUCAAUUAUUCAUUUAAU